AGUCACUGACAUUAGAUACCCGGGUAGUCCAGGGUGUAAACGCUGCAGACUUGGUGUUGGAGGCCCUUUGGGGGCAUUCAGUGCCGGAGAGAAGUUGUUAAGUCUGCUACUUGGGGAGUACGUCCGUAAGGAUGAAACUUAAAGGAAUUGGCGGGGGAGCACCGCAACGGGAGGAGCGUGCGGUUUAAUUGGAUUCAACACCGUAAACUCACCAGGGAAGACUGUUACAUGAAGGCCGAGAUGAAGACUCUGCUAGAUUUUCAG
Molecule: ribosomal RNA, 264 nt
Filed under: uncultured archaeon
Lineage: Archaea
Description: partial 16S ribosomal RNA
Rfam family: Archaeal small subunit ribosomal RNA
Source: RNAcentral